Molecule: ribosomal RNA, 274 nt
Filed under: uncultured bacterium
Lineage: Bacteria
Description: partial 16S ribosomal RNA
Rfam family: Bacterial small subunit ribosomal RNA
Source: RNAcentral
AUACGUAGGUCCCGAACGUUGCGCGAAAUUACUGGGCGUAAGGGGUCCGUAGGCGGUCUGGUAAGUGGAAGGUGAAAGCCUGGGGCUCAACUCCAGAAUUGCCUUCCAAACUGCCGGACUUGAGGCAGGGAGAGGUCGGCGGAAUUCCCGGUGUAGUGGUGAAAUGCGUAGAUAUCGGGAGGAACACCAGUGGCGAAGGCGGCCGACUGGAACUGUCCUGACGCUGAGGGACGAAAGCCAGGGGAGCGAACCGGAUUAGAAACCCUAGUAGUCC